GAGGUUUGGGAUGGGGCGGCCGGCGGCGGCGGUGGCGACGACGAGCGGGAACGGAGGGCGCGCGGCGGCAGAGAGCCAGCAGGAGCGAGCGCAUGAGACGGCGUAGAGGACGCGGUCGUCUAGCUGCGUCGGCCCGGGCAGGUGGCGCAGAGGGACGGCGGGUCGAGCAGGGGCCGGAGGCGGGUCCAGACAUGAGACUCCCAAUGAAAGUAAACGCAACUUUCGAUACACCCAGUAAACAGUGCCGGUAUCUACGCCGGGGCCUCGACAGCCCAAGUGGCACUGUGUCCACCUCGUCUACUUCCACCUCCGCACUCAUCGGCUGUAGAUGACGCAGGAGAAGCUGCGGCGCGGGUUGCGAUUCAGAAAGUACGAUCUCGACACCACGUUAGUCGUACAGCUCAUAAACUGCUUUCCCGAGCUACGGUUCAUAACGAAGAGGUUACAUUUUAAUUGAGCUCACAGCAGGGACCAAUAAUAAAACGAACUGUCAAAAGUAAGGUCAGCUGGAAUCAAUAAUACGAUAACCUACCAAGUACCUGAGCGCAACGACCUACUUUGCGAACCGCUACUGGAGCUCUUGCUAUAACAUCUGAAGAACAGAGCUACGGUCCUAUCCAAGUUCGGUUCAUCGAUUGUAGGGGAAGAUGGGUUCCAGUUCGUAAGUCGCCGCCGUAGUCUCCUCUGUAGCAGUGCGUCUUCGGGGAAGAGAUCUCUUCGUUUUCGAGACCGGCGGUACCUACGGUUACUCUAAGAGCUGGUUCCAAGUGGACCCGGACGUAGGAGGUUUUUGUUCUACGUAAGUGAAUAGUUCCAAUCGGCCUUCAAUGGUUGAACGAAACAUUUUCAGAACCCUAAAAAUUUCAAACAUCCUUGGGAAAAACUUAUCUGCUUGUAAAAUCUAUAAACGAACGUUCUGGUUUUCUUUUAUACAACUGUUUACUUGGACGAAUACGUCUUACGAAAACUCCUAUAAGUAUGUUUUAAGAAACAGUCACACGAACGAACUGACCCAAUUAUUCUUCUUAGUACGUUGUCAGUUCUUUUACUUGAUAACGGGUACAUGUCUAGUUCACUAAAAUCAGAGGGAAAGCCCUCUUCGGAUUCGGCUUUUAUUGACCGGAACUCAUGAAAAGUAAGCAUACGUAAGGUAUGAGUCCCUUAUUCAGAACGCAUACACACACAUAUGACCUUAACAUUGAGUGACAUCAUUAAGUAUUAAUCAAGGUAGAAAAUGAAACUAUGACGUUUUUAUCCCUCCUUUAUAACACACUCAGUCAUAGAGUUUCUAUUUGUUCCCCUUCUAAAAUUAUACGCCACAGAGUCCGACAACUAAAAAAUCCGAAUAAAACCGGUAUCUAAAUAGGACAAGUAUGCGAAUUUAUUUUAUCAAUUUCAAGUACAGAUACUAAGCAUACUUUUUUAUACCCUACACGAAAACUUAGACGUUAUAAAAGUAGGAUAUCCCAAAUGAAGAAAGUCGAGAACCAACAUACGGACUUGUCUUAUUGGCUUCAAGCUUAAAUACACACCAUUGUUUGAUUUAUACUCUUCAUAAACAGUACAAGAUUCUUUAUCAUAUAACAUUUGCUAGCCCACUUAAAACGUGAAGGUAAAGACCCACACAACAAAGUCCUAAAACCUCGAAGGACAGAUAUAAAGACCUACGGUAAACACCAAAGUUUAUCACCACGAAGAGUUCAACAAAACAAACGUCCAGACCGUUAUAAGUAAACGCGGAUCGAGGAUUGUAUGUACCUAGUUAGUAAAAUAAUAAAACAGUAGAGUACAUGAAGGUGUACUACAAUCUCGAGUAACAGACUUAACAAUAAAUCCACCAUCGAAACACUUUUAUUAUUAUUAAUCUUCGAGUCUUGGCACUCUCUAGCUACCAUAAAGGUUUGAUCUUACCGUUACGAUUCAGAUUUAAAAUGUAAGUUCACCUUUAGUACAACCAUAAACCACGUACUGUUCCACGUUUAAAGGAUUGAAAACGUUCUACCAGACGAACCAAACACGACUAGACGAAUUCAGAAACAAGUUGCUAAUCUAUGCUUCAGAUGAGCGGUCCUCCUCGUACUUAUCAUGUAGCUCUCUCCUUCAUACUCAAGAGGCUUUACUAGUAGAUGUUCGUGUCAUGUAUAAACAACUAACGAUCGUGAUAGAUACAAAGGUAUCGUAACAAAGGUUGACGACAUUGUGGAUAAAAAAUGUUAAAUUCCAUACUUGAUGGACCGAAAUAAAACUUGAAUACAUGACUACAUCUUACUACCGAGGACAAAAAAUGAACGACCAUACUUGACAAAGCAACAUAAAACAUUUCGAGUUCUCAAAUGAAUACUACGAUUGAUUGUAACGAUGUUGUAAACAUAUCUGAUGGAGAUUAUUAAUAGGAAAGGAACGGC
This 2405-nucleotide ribosomal RNA is filed under the name Triticum aestivum (bread wheat). RNAcentral's name for it is "partial small subunit ribosomal RNA". Lineage: Eukaryota; Viridiplantae; Streptophyta; Magnoliopsida; Poales; Poaceae. The record is from RNAcentral.